This 291-nucleotide ribosomal RNA is filed under the name Salmonella enterica. Its description in RNAcentral is "partial 16S ribosomal RNA". It matches the Rfam family "Bacterial small subunit ribosomal RNA", at positions 1 to 290 of the family's 1533-position model. The record is from RNAcentral. Lineage: Bacteria; Pseudomonadati; Pseudomonadota; Gammaproteobacteria; Enterobacterales; Enterobacteriaceae.
AAAUUGAAGAGUUUGAUCAUGGCUCAGAUUGAACGCUGGCGGCAGGCCUAACACAUGCAAGUCGAACGGUAGCACAGAGAGCUUGCUCUCGGGUGACGAGUGGCGGACGGGUGAGUAAUGUCUGGGAAACUGCCUGAUGGAGGGGGAUAACUACUGGAAACGGUGGCUAAUACCGCAUAACGUCGCAAGACCAAAGAGGGGGACCUUCGGGCCUCUUGCCAUCAGAUGUGCCCAGAUGGGAUUAGCUAGUUGGUGAGGUAACGGCUCACCAAGGCGACGAUCCCUAGCUGG